UGCAAGCUCGUAAAUAAACAACUAUGGGAAAUUCAAGUGGCUUAAGUAAACUACAACUAGAAGGCACACCGAACUUGAAAUAUAGAAUAGAAGAGUUUCAGUCAGUUCAACCUGCUAUCUUUGCCCCGUGAUGGCUUCAUCCAAGCACUGGAAUUAACAAAGCUACAGUUCACCAAUCACCAGACAAAAUUGGAAUUUCAAUCUUUGGUUUGAUACCUCGAAAUCUAUUUAUGUCUAGAAGAAAGUAAUAUGGCUUCUAGUACUCUGGUUUUCUUAAAUUCAUUAUAUGGAGAGCAGAGUUACAUGACAGAUUACAGGAAAAAGAAAAAAAGUUACUGCUACACAGAUUGCAAGAGCAAAUCCAGAGAAGUAUUUGGAAACAUGUAGAUUACUUAUCUUCUUCUUCAGCAUCCGGCUCCGCAAAGAGUGGCUCGGGUUGUGUAUCAGCAUAUGCUGGAGCAAUAAAUUUUGGAUCUUUUGCAGCUGCAUCAGCAUGCUUCAAGAUUGCUUCUCUAGGAUCCUCCUCCAUCCAAGUCUCCUUUAUCAAGCCACCUUGCUUAAGAAGGUAUUGUGUUAACAAGCUUCCCUUGGUUGAACCAACUCUACCACCAAAACCAGGCCCUGUUAUUGGCAGCUCAGGUUUAUGCGACUUCAGUGGAUCCUUCAGUUCUUUCUCUCGCUGACGCUUGCGACUAGGUUGAUCUCUAAAUAAGGGUAGUGCA
RNAcentral lists this unclassified non-coding RNA (722 nucleotides) under Hevea brasiliensis (rubber tree). Lineage: Eukaryota; Viridiplantae; Streptophyta; Magnoliopsida; Malpighiales; Euphorbiaceae. The record is from RNAcentral.